This 419-nucleotide ribosomal RNA is filed under the name bacterium. Its description in RNAcentral is "partial 16S ribosomal RNA". It matches the Rfam family "Bacterial small subunit ribosomal RNA", at positions 355 to 776 of the family's 1533-position model. The record is from RNAcentral.
UGGGGGAUAUUGCACAAUGGGCGAAAGCCUGAUGCAGCGACGCCGCGUGGGGGAUGAAGGCCUUCGGGUUGUAAACUUCUUUUGCUCUGAACAAGGCAUGCUAAUGGGUGUGUUGAGUGUAGGGGUUGAUUAGCGCCGGCUAACUACGUGCCAGCAGCCGCGGUAAUACGUAGGGCGCGAGCGUUGUCCGGAAUUAUUGGGCGUAAAGGGCUUGUAGGUGGCUGGUUGCGUCUGUCGUGAAAGCUCAUGGCUUAACUGUGGGUUUGCGGUGGGUACGGGCUGGCUUGAGUACAGUAGGGGAGGCUGGAAUUCCUGGUGUAGCGGUGGAAUGCUCAGAUAUCAGGAGGGAUACCGGUGGCGAAGGCGGGUCUCUGGGCUGUUACUGACACUGAGGAGCGAAAGCAUGGGGAGCGAACAGG